AUUGAACGCUGGCGGCAUGCCUUACACAUGCAAGUCGAACGGCAGCACGGGAGCAAUCCUGGUGGCGAGUGGCGAACGGGUGAGUAAUAUAUCGGAACGUGCCCAGUCGUGGGGAUAACGUAGCGAAAGCUACGCUAAUACCGCAUACGAUCUAUGGAUGAAAGCGGGGGAUCGCAAGACCUCGCGCGAUUGGAGCGGCCGAUAUCAGAUUAGGUAGUUGGUGAGGUAAAGGCUCACCAAAGCCGACGAUCUGUAGCUGGUCUGAGAGGACGACCAGCCACACUGGGACUGAGACACGGCCCAGACUCCUACGGGAGGCAGCAGUGGGGAAUUUUUGGGACAAAUGGGCGCAAGCCUGAUCCAGCAAUGCCGCGUGCAGGAUGAAGGCCU
This 390-nucleotide ribosomal RNA is filed under the name uncultured bacterium. RNAcentral's name for it is "bacterial SSU rRNA". It matches the Rfam family "Bacterial small subunit ribosomal RNA", at positions 30 to 417 of the family's 1533-position model. The record is from RNAcentral.